This 1430-nucleotide long non-coding RNA is filed under the name Salmo salar (Atlantic salmon). RNAcentral describes it as "lncRNA (ENSSSAG00000118650.1)". The record is from RNAcentral. Lineage: Eukaryota; Metazoa; Chordata; Actinopteri; Salmoniformes; Salmonidae.
CAAUUAUUGUGAAUUUGUAUUUGAUUUUUAAUUAGCCUGGUAAAAGGGGAUUUAAAAAAAUUUUUAUACUUUCAUAAUUAAUAGUCUGACACAUUACCUUUAAUAACUGGAGAAUAUAUCUCACCACUGUGUUUUUCCCAUCUCCUCUCUUCUUCAUUCCUUUCUCGAGGAUGCAGAGAGAGAGAGGGGCUGUCGCCAGCUUCAUUCACUAUGUUUCGAAAAGAUGUUUUCUAUCGACGUUCUCGAAUGGAUUUCGCUUGGUUUCCCAAAGUUAAGUACUGGGUAGCUGCAGGAACAGGGUAGGACAGCCCAUACAGAGUACUGGGUAGCUGCAUGAACAGGGUUGGGAGCUCCCAUGGCAUACAGAGUACUGGGUAGCUUAACAGGGUAGGAGAGCCCAUGGUAUACAGAGACUGGGUAGGAACAGGGUAGGAGACCCAUACAGAGUACUGGGUAGCUGCAGGAACAAGGUGGGAGAGCCCAGGGCAUACAGAGUACUGGGUAGCUGCAGGAACAGGGUAGGAGAGACCACGGCAUACAGAGUACUGGGUAUCUGCAGGAACAAGGUGGGAGAGCCCAGGGCAUACAGAGUACUGGGUAGCUGCAGGAACAAGGUAGGAGAGCCCAUGGCAUACAGAGUACUGGGUAGCUGCAGGAACAGGGUAGGAGAGCCCACGCCAUACAGAGUACUGGGUAGCUGCAUUAACAGGGUAGGAGAGCCCAUACAGAGUACUGGGUAGAUACAGGAACAGGGUUGGGAGAGCCCAUGGUAUACAGAGUACUGGGUAGCUGAAGGAACAGGGUAGUAGAGCCCAUACAGAGUACUGGGUAGCUGCAGGAACAAGGUAGGAGAGCCCAUGGCAUACAGAGUACUGGGUAGCUACAGGAACAGGGUAGGAGAGCCCAUGGCAUACAGAGUACUGGGUAGCUGCAGGAACAGGGUAGGAGAGCCCAUACAGAGUACUGGGUAGCUGCAGGAACAGGGUAGGACAGCCCAUACAGAGUACUGGGUAGCUGCAGGAACAGGGUAGGACAGCCCAUACAGAGUACUGGGUAGCUGCAGGAACAGGGUAGGAGAGCCCAUACAGAGUACUGGGUAGAUGAACAGGGUAGGAGAGCCCACUGCAUAUAGAGUACUGGGUAGCUGCAGGAACAGGGUAGGAGAGCCCAUACAGAGUACUGGGUAGCUACAGGAACAAGGUAGGAGAGCACAUGGCAUACAGAGUACUGGGUAGCUACAGGAACAGGGUAGGAGAGCCCAUGGCAUACAGAGUACUGGGUAGCUGCAGGAACAGGGUAGGACAGCCCAUACAGAGUACUGGGUAGCUGCAGGAACAGGGUAGGACAGCCCAUACAGAGUACUGGGUAGCUGCAGGAACAGGGUAGGACAGCCCAUACAGAGUACUGGGUAGAUACAGGAACAGGGUUGG